CCAGACUCCUACGGGAGGCAGCAGUGAGGAAUAUUGGUCAAUGGGCGGAAGCCUGAACCAGCCAAGUCGCGUGAGGGAAGAAGGCCCUGCGGGUCGCAGACCUCUUUGGACGGGGAGCAAGGCCGCCGACGUGUCGGCGGAAGGAGAGUACCCGUAGAACAAGCAUCGGCUAACUCCGUGCCAGCAGCCGCGGUAAUACGGAGGAUGCGAGCGUUAUCCGGAUUUAUUGGGUUUAAAGGGUGCGCAGGCGGCACGGCAAGUCUGGUGUGAAAGGCAGGGGCUCAACCCCUGGACUGCAUUGGAAACUGUCAGGCUGGAGUGCAGGAGAGGUAAGUGGAAUUCCUAGUGUAGCGGUGAAAUGCGUAGAUAUUAGGAGGAACACCAGUGGCGAAGGCGGCUUACUGGACUGUAACUGACGUUGAGGCUCGAAAGCGUGGGGAGCAAACAGGAUUAGAUACCCCAGUAAC
Molecule: ribosomal RNA, 467 nt
Filed under: uncultured bacterium
Lineage: Bacteria
Description: bacterial SSU rRNA
Rfam family: Bacterial small subunit ribosomal RNA
Source: RNAcentral